Molecule: long non-coding RNA, 554 nt
Organism: Camellia sinensis
Lineage: Eukaryota; Viridiplantae; Streptophyta; Magnoliopsida; Ericales; Theaceae
Source: RefSeq, a predicted model, not a curated record
AUGCGGAGAUUAAGGCAUUGAGAGAAGGCAGAAAGGUUCGGAUCUACCCCCUUCUAUCUCUCUCUCUCUCUCUAUGACUAUCGUAAAUCUGAUUUGGUUGUUGAUUUUUGUUUGUUUGUGUUGGUUGUUGAUUCUGUUUUGUUAAUGAUUCUGUUGAUUUUCGUUUGUUUGUGUUGGCUUUCAAUUCUAGGUGUGUCGAUCAACAGGAAACAGCGAGUGGUGCAUCCUCCUAAGCCAAAAGAAGCCUCUUUGGCUAUCAAAUGGGAAUGUAUUUAAUAUUUUCAUUAAUGGAAAAUUGGAUAAAGUUAUUUCAAUAGCAUUGCACUUUUCAUGCAAACUGGAGUCACUUCACCAGUAACAUGAAGAUUCUUUAUGUUCUGUUGUUAGCUAUUGGUGGGGAAUAUGAAUGAGCUCUCUCUCUCGCUCUCGCAUGCCCUACCUCUCUCUCACGCUCGCCAUCAUGGUUCACAAGUAUGGAUCUCUCUGUGUAGGUUUCUCAUUCUCUCUCUCGGUCUCUUAAUCUCUCUCUUGAUCUCUCAAUCUUGAAGACCUAA